This 366-nucleotide ribosomal RNA is filed under the name Triticum aestivum (bread wheat). RNAcentral describes it as "partial small subunit ribosomal RNA". The record is from RNAcentral. Lineage: Eukaryota; Viridiplantae; Streptophyta; Magnoliopsida; Poales; Poaceae.
GUGAUUGAUGAGCUUUUGGAUGAACUAUCUGGUGCUGCUUGGUUCACUAAAUUGGAUCUCAGGGCUGGUUACCAUCAGAUCAGACUAGCUGAGGGGGAGGAAUAUAAAACAGCUUUCCAAACUCAUCUUGGCCACUGUGAGUUUACUGUUCUGGCCAUGGGACUGAGUGAAGCUCCAGGAACAUUCCAGGGGGCCUUGAACAACACCUUGUCCCCUGUUAACAGGAAGAAUACCUUGGUUUUCUUUGAUGACAUUCUGAUUUUCAGUAAGUCAUAUGAGGAGCACUUAAAACAUGUUAGAGAAGUGCUGGUUUUGCUAAGAGCUGAUCAAUGGAAAAUCAAAAUGUCAAAGUGUGCUUUUGCUCAA